CACGAACCGUACGAGCGUUAAUCGGAAUUACUGGGCGUAAAGCGCGCGUAGGCGGCUUUUCAAGUCGAUUGUGAAAUCCCCGGGCUCAACCUGGGAACUGCAGUCGAGACUGUCUAGCUAGAGUAUGGGAGAGGGAAGUGGAAUUUCAGGUGUAGCGGUGAAAUGCGUAGAUAUCUGAAGGAACAUCAGUGGCGAAAGCGACUUCCUGGACCAAUACUGACGCUCAUGUGCGAAAGCGUGGGGAGCAAACAGG
This 253-nucleotide ribosomal RNA is filed under the name uncultured bacterium. RNAcentral describes it as "partial 16S ribosomal RNA". It matches the Rfam family "Bacterial small subunit ribosomal RNA", at positions 524 to 776 of the family's 1533-position model. The record is from RNAcentral.